RNAcentral lists this ribosomal RNA (527 nucleotides) under uncultured bacterium. RNAcentral describes it as "bacterial SSU rRNA". It matches the Rfam family "Bacterial small subunit ribosomal RNA", at positions 984 to 1509 of the family's 1533-position model. The record is from RNAcentral.
ACAUCCAGCGAAUUCGGUAGAGAUACCUUUAGUGCCUUCGGGAACGCUGAGACAGGUGCUGCAUGGCUGUCGUCAGCUCGUGUUGUGAAAUGUUGGGUUAAGUCCCGCAACGAGCGCAACCCUUAUCCUUUGUUGCCAGCGGUCCGGCCGGGAAACUCAAAGGAGACUGCCAGUGAUAAACUGGAGGAAGGUGGGGAUGACGUCAAGUCAUCAUGGCCCUUACGAGUAGGGCUACACACGUGCUACAAUGGCGCAUACAAAGAGAAGCGACCUCGCGAGAGCAAGCGGACCUCAUAAAGUGCGUCGUAGUCCGGAUUGGAGUCUGCAACUCGACUCCAUGAAGUCGGAAUCGCUAGUAAUCGUAGAUCAGAAUGCUACGGUGAAUACGUUCCCGGGCCUUGUACACACCGCCCGUCACACCAUGGGAGUGGGUUGCAAAAGAAGUAGGUAGCUUAACCUUCGGGAGGGCGCUUACCACUUUGUGAUUCAUGACUGGGGUGAAGUCGUAACAAGGUAAGCGUAGCGAG